RNAcentral lists this long non-coding RNA (334 nucleotides) under Ananas comosus (pineapple). RNAcentral's name for it is "long non-coding RNA (ACOM_LNC026083)". Lineage: Eukaryota; Viridiplantae; Streptophyta; Magnoliopsida; Poales; Bromeliaceae. The record is from RNAcentral.
AUAAUAUAAGAACCAAAUACUAUUGAAUUUAAAAAGAUUUUGCAUAUUAACAUCGAAAAAUUACACAUAUAUAAUAUCAUUUCUCGAUUAAAAUUAACUUCAUCAGCCCACAUAAUACCACAUUAUUAUUUGAAAAAAGUUCAAUUUGCCCGCUUAUGAUUUAGUGCACUUUCAGUUUGGUAUUCUAUGGUUUGAAAUAUCUCACUUUGCUAUUUUGUGGUUUUACUUUUUUUUCGCCAUUAAAACUGUGAUUAAAUAUAGGAUGCUAAAUUGAUAUAUUUUACAAACCAUAGGAUGCCUAAUGAAAAUAUAGGUUGUUAUCAUAUGGUUUGUA